UGAUUAAGCCAUGCAAGUCGAGAGGGUUCGGCCCUCGGCGUACUGCUCAGUAACACGUGGAUAACCUGCCCUAAGGAAGGGGAUACCCUCGGGAAACUGAGGAUAAUACCCUAUAGGUUACCGAUGCUGGAAUGCUCGGUAACUCAAAGUUCCGGCGCCUUAGGAUGGAUCUGCGGCCGAUUAGGUAGUUGUUGGGGUAACGGCCCAACAAGCCCGUAAUCGGUACGGGUUGUGGGAGCAAGAGCCCGGAGUUGGAUUCUGAGACACGAAUCCAGGCCCUACGGGGCGCAGCAGGCGCGAAAACUUUACAAUGCGGGCAACCGUGAUAAGGGAACCUCGAGUGCCUGUACAUGCAGGCUGUCUGGGUGUCUAAAACACACCCAAAGAAAGGGCCGGGCAAGACCGGUGCCAGCCGCCGCGGUAAUACCGGCGGCUCGAGUGGUGGCCACUUUUAUUGGGCUUAGAGCGUUCGUAGCUGGGUUGUUAAGUCUCUUGGGAAAUCCGGCGGCUUAACCGUCGGGCGUCUAAGAGAUACUGGCAAUCUUGGAACCGGGAGGGGUGAGGGGUACUUCGGGGGUAGGAGUGAAAUCCUGUAAUCCUCGAGGGACCACCUGUGGCGAAGGCGCCUCACCAGAACGGCUUCGACAGUGAGGGACGAAAGCUGGGGGAGCAAACCGGAUUAGAUACCCGGGUAGUCCCAGCCGUAAACGAUGUGCGUUAGGUGUAUCGACGACCACGAGUCGUCGAGGUGCCGAAGGGAAACCGUGAAACGUACCGCCUGGGAAGUACGGUCGCAAGGCUGAAACUUAAAGGAAUUGGCGGGGGAGCA
Molecule: ribosomal RNA, 829 nt
Filed under: uncultured archaeon
Lineage: Archaea
Description: bacterial SSU rRNA
Rfam family: Archaeal small subunit ribosomal RNA
Source: RNAcentral